GAUGAACGCUAGCGGCAGGCUUAACACAUGCAAGUCGAGGGGUAUAGGUUUUCGGACCUAGAGACCGGCGCACGGGUGCGUAACGCGUAUGCAAUCUACCUUUCACAGAGGGAUAGCCCAGAGAAAUUUGGAUUAAUACCUCAUAGUAUAUCGAGUUGGCAUCAACAUGAUAUUAAAGAUUUAUCGGUGAAAGAUGAGCAUGCGUCCCAUUAGCUAGUUGGUAUGGUAACGGCAUACCAAGGCUACGAUGGGUAGGGGUCCUGAGAGGGAGAUCCCCCACACUGGUACUGAGACACGGACCAGACUCCUACGGGAGGCAGCAGUGAGGAAUAUUGGACAAUGGGCGCAAGCCUGAUCCAGCCAUGCCGCGUGCAGGAUGACGGUCCUAUGGAUUGUAAACUGCUUUUAUACGAGAAGAAACACUCCUUCGUGAAGGAGCUUGACGGUAUCGUAAGAAUAAGGAUCGGCUAACUCCGUGCCAGCAGCCGCGGUAAUACGGAGGAUCCAAGCGUUAUCCGGAAUCAUUGGGUUUAAAGGGUCCGUAGGCGGUUUAGUAAGUCAGUGGUGAAAGCCCAUCGCUCAACGGUGGAACGGCCAUUGAUACUGCUAGACUUGAAUUAUUAGGAAGUAACUAGAAUAUGUAGUGUAGCGGUGAAAUGCUUAGAGAUUACAUGGAAUACCAAUUGCGAAGGCAGGUUACUACUAA
Molecule: ribosomal RNA, 706 nt
Filed under: Flavobacteriaceae bacterium 8G7
Lineage: Bacteria; Pseudomonadati; Bacteroidota; Flavobacteriia; Flavobacteriales; Flavobacteriaceae
Description: bacterial SSU rRNA
Rfam family: Bacterial small subunit ribosomal RNA
Source: RNAcentral